UUGCCUCAUGAAUAAUAUAUGAGAUAAUACCUGCCCAGUGACAUCCAGUUCAACGGCCGCGGUAUCCUAACCGUGCAAAGGUAGCAUAAUCACUUGCCUAUUAAUUGUAGGCUAGAAUGAAAGGGUUAACGAAAUAAAAACUGUCUCAAUUAGUCAACUAAAAAUUAUUCUCUAUCUGAAGAAAGACAGAUACUCUCGAAGGACAAGAAGACCCUAUAGAGCUUAAUUUUACCUAUAGAACUAUACUAUAUAAAUAUUCGGUUGGGGCGACCCAGGGCAAAAUAAUCACCCACAACAUAAAAGAUAUAUUAAUCAAAUAACUGACCCUUUAAAGAUCACAAGAACAAGCUACCUUAGGGAUAACAGGCUAAUCCCACUCAAGAGUCCUUAUCAACAGUGGGGUUUGGCACCUCGAUGUUGGCUUAGGGUAUCCAUAUAGCGCAAAAGUUAUAUAAAGAUGGUUUGUUCAACCAAUAAUAUCCCUACAUGAGCUGAGUUCAGACCGGCGUAAGCCAGGUUAGCUUCUAUCCUCGACUACCACAAUCUACUCCUAGUACGAAAGGACCUGAGUAGAAUAAUUACUUAUAUAAAAGAAUACAUACAACUGAUAAUAAACCUGACACCAUACAAACUAUA
This 636-nucleotide ribosomal RNA is filed under the name Megascolecidae sp. MPL-2014. RNAcentral's name for it is "partial 16S ribosomal RNA". The stretch from base 1 to 552 matches the Rfam family "Bacterial large subunit ribosomal RNA", at positions 1829 to 2925 of the family's 2925-position model. The record is from RNAcentral. Lineage: Eukaryota; Metazoa; Annelida; Clitellata; Crassiclitellata; Megascolecidae.